Dermochelys coriacea (leatherback sea turtle) is the source of this 222-nucleotide long non-coding RNA. RefSeq lists it as uncharacterized. The transcript is spliced from 3 exons. The record is from RefSeq and is a predicted model, not a curated record. Lineage: Eukaryota; Metazoa; Chordata; Testudines; Dermochelyidae.
UGUGAUUUUCCACAGUAAGAACAAAGGGCUUUCCUUCCACAUGGCAGAGGAUAUAAAAUGCCAUGGAAACCCCUCCAUUUUGUCUUCAGUCCUACUUCUUACCUCUGGAGGAACUUUGCUGCAAACUUAAGCUCUGAACAAAGGCCUAAAUGACCCAUCCAAGCUGUGGAUAUGUUCCAGAGACUUUAUUUGAACCUGCAGUCUAUUCCAUCACUGCUACAA